RNAcentral lists this ribosomal RNA (481 nucleotides) under uncultured bacterium. RNAcentral's name for it is "partial 16S ribosomal RNA". It matches the Rfam family "Bacterial small subunit ribosomal RNA", at positions 28 to 523 of the family's 1533-position model. The record is from RNAcentral.
GACGAACGCUGGCGGCGUGCUUAACACAUGCAAGUCGAGCGGAAAGGCCACUUCGGUGGUACUCGAGCGGCGAACGGGUGAGUAACACGUGAGUAAUCUGCCCCUGGCUUUGGGAUAGCCACCGGAAACGGUGAUUAAUACCGGAUACGACCACUUCUCGCAUGGGAUGGUGGUGGAAAGUUUUUUCGGCCAGGGAUGUGCUCGCGGCCUAUCAGCUUGAUGGUGAGGUAAUGGCUUACCAUGGCUUCGACGGGUAGCCGGCCUGAGAGGGUGACCGGUCAGACUUGGACUGAGACACGGCGCAGACUCCUACGGGAGGCAGCAGUGGGGAAUAUUGGACAAUGGGCGGAAGCCUGAUCCAGCAACGCCGCGUGAGGGAUGACGGCCUUCGGGUUGUAAACCUCUUUCAGCAGGGACGAAGCGCAAGUGACGGUACCUGCAGAAGAAGCACCGGCCAACUACGUGCCAGCCGCCGCCGUAA